UACGGGGGGGGCAAGCGUUGUUCGGAAUUACUGGGCGUAAAGGGCUCGUAGGUGGCCAACUAAGUCAGACGUGAAAUCCCUCGGCUUAACUGGGGAACUGCGUCUGAUACUGGAUGGCUUGAGUUCGGGAGAGGGAUGCGGAAUUCCAGGUGUAGCGGUGAAAUGCGUAGAUAUCUGGAGGAACACCGGUGGCGAAGGCGGCAUCCUGGACCGAUACUGACACUGAGGAGCGAAAGCCAGGGGAGCAAACGGG
RNAcentral lists this ribosomal RNA (253 nucleotides) under uncultured bacterium. RNAcentral's name for it is "partial 16S ribosomal RNA". It matches the Rfam family "Bacterial small subunit ribosomal RNA", at positions 524 to 776 of the family's 1533-position model. The record is from RNAcentral.